AUUGAACGCUGGCGGCAUGCUUUACACAUGCAAGUCGGACGAGUGGCGAACGGGUGAGUAACGCAUCGGAACGUACCGAGUAAUGGGGGAUAACUGUCCGAAAGGACAGCUAAUACCGCAUAUUAUUCGAGCGGCCGAUGUCUGAUUAGCUGGUUGGCGGGGUAAAGGCCCACCAAGGCGACGAUCAGUAGCGGGUCUGAGAGGAUGAUCCGCCACACUGGGACUGGGACACGGCCCAGACUCCUACGGGAGGCAGCCGUGGGGAAUUUUGGGCAAUGGGCGCAAGCCUGAUCGAGCCAUGCCGCGUGUCUGAAGAAGGCCUUCGGGUUGUAAAGGACUUUUGUCAGGGAAGCGGUACCGGAAGAGAAAGCCACGGCUAACUACGUGCCAGCAGCCGCGGUAAUAC
RNAcentral lists this ribosomal RNA (406 nucleotides) under uncultured bacterium. RNAcentral describes it as "partial 16S ribosomal RNA". It matches the Rfam family "Bacterial small subunit ribosomal RNA", at positions 30 to 526 of the family's 1533-position model. The record is from RNAcentral.